GAUGAAGAAACGUAGCGAAAUGCGAUAAGUAGUGUGAAUUGCAGAAUUCAGUGAAUCAUCGAAUCUUUGAACGCACAUUGCGCCUUCUAGUAUUCUGGGAGGCAUGCCUGUUUGAGCGUCAUUAAACCUCUCUCAAGUAUGAUUACUUGGAUGUGAAGGAAGAGUACCUUAAACUUAAGGAGUGUUCUCCUUUGAAAUUGAUUAGCAGAUGGUAAUGUUAUUAAAUCCCUGAUGUUGUAAGAAAUAACAGUGGUUUUGUAGACUAUUAUCUAGCUUUAAAUUAUAAUUUUUAUUAUGGUUGACCUCAAAUCAGGUAAGGAUACCCGCUGAACUUAAGCAUAUCAAUAAGCGGAGGA
Molecule: unclassified non-coding RNA, 356 nt
Filed under: soil metagenome
Description: partial contains 5.8S ribosomal RNA, internal transcribed spacer 2, and large subunit ribosomal RNA
Rfam family: 5.8S ribosomal RNA (bases 1-121)
Source: RNAcentral